RNAcentral lists this ribosomal RNA (374 nucleotides) under uncultured bacterium. RNAcentral describes it as "bacterial SSU rRNA". It matches the Rfam family "Bacterial small subunit ribosomal RNA", at positions 524 to 898 of the family's 1533-position model. The record is from RNAcentral.
UACGUAGGGUGCAAGCGUUAAUCGGAAUUACUGGGCGUAAAGGGUGCGCAGGCGGUUCUGUAAGUCAGAUGUGAAAUCCCCGGGCUUAACCUGGGAACUGCGUUUGAAACUGCAGAGCUAGAGUGCGGCAGAGGGAGGUGGAAUUCCAUGUGUAGCAGUGAAAUGCGUAGAGAUAUGGAAGAACAUCGAUGGCGAAGGCAACCUCCUGGGCUAGCACUGACGCUCAUGCACGAAAGCGUGGGGAGCAAACAGGAUUAGAUACCCUGGUAGUCCACGCCCUAAACUAUGUCAACUAGUUGUCGGGCCUUAAUAGGCUUGGUAACGUAGCUAACGCGUGAAGUUGACCGCCUGGGGAGUACGGUCGCAAGAUUAAA